AUAAUCAUAAACUUGACCCCUCUGUGGGAUCUCAUCAAUGCCCCCAAUGGGCGAUACAUCAUAAGUUGAGUUGGUUUACAUCUACAUCAUAAACAUCUAAGAUCAUGUAUUAAAAGGGAUAACAAUAUUCAUAGGGUCAAGCACAACUUCUAAUCCUCAAUAUUUAUAUACAUAACAUGACUAUUCAACUUUACAUCAUUAUACAAUUUAUCAUGUCCACUUUCUAUCUAUUACAAAGAUAAGACUUUACUCUUCUUGACUUCUCUGUCUAGCCCGUACCUGCAAUCCUGGGGGAUUAGGGAAAAGGGGUGAGCUACGAGAGACCAGUGAGCAGAAUAAUAGAAAACCACAUUUAAAAUCCCAUGCCAUCAUGUAAUGCAGCACAUCACAACAAAUCACAUCUCGGAUGGUAUUGUCACCAAUAGUCCUCUACAUUCCAAAGUGCCGGGACGUAGAAUGGGUACGACUGGUCUUUCUCUUAACAUAACAUAUCAUAAUAUACCAAUGUGCCAGGGACGUAGAAUGGGUACAACCUAGACUUUCUCUUACAUAGUGCUAGGGACAUAGAAUGGGUACAACCUGGACUUCCAUACUAUAUCAUGCCGUAACAUCAUCAUAUCAUAUGAGGGCUAAAGGGUCAUCCAAUAACCAAUCCACAUCAACAUCAUAAAUGCAAUGCAACAUAUUCGUGGAUUCUAAUGCAAACAACCUAUUUCAUCACAUGGCAUUCAUGAUGCAUGAACAUGCUCAAAACUUUUAUAAUUUAUUUGCUUUAAAUUGUAAAGGUUUAUUCUACUCACCUCUUGGCUAGCUCUGACAAUGACUGAAGCAGCUGACUCACUGCUGGGGUCCUCGGUUCCUCGGGUCCGAACC
Molecule: long non-coding RNA, 873 nt
Filed under: Manihot esculenta (cassava)
Lineage: Eukaryota; Viridiplantae; Streptophyta; Magnoliopsida; Malpighiales; Euphorbiaceae
Description: long non-coding RNA (MESC_LNC001578)
Source: RNAcentral